Molecule: long non-coding RNA, 741 nt
Filed under: Olea europaea subsp. europaea
Lineage: Eukaryota; Viridiplantae; Streptophyta; Magnoliopsida; Lamiales; Oleaceae
Source: RNAcentral
AGAACACCCCUUUUUGGGACUUUGUCUUAAGAGGUUUGUCCCUUACACAAUCGUCUGAUCCUUUUUAAUUGUUAGCGACUAACCCGCGCGAAACUCUAUAGAUGUAGAAUACAAAAGAGGAGUGAAUGCUUUAUUUUUUGCCAUUUUUUCAUCUGUGAAUUGUUAAUCAACCCAUCUCAUUCGUCGGCUCUAUGUGAUCUAUUGAAUAUUUCUUUCACCAAUGAGUUCUAUACAAGAUAUCAAACCUAUGAAUUUAUUUUAUUUGUGAUUUUGUUUGAAUCUAGAAAGAAUACAAAAAUAGACUAAGAUGCCACUUUGAAUUUGAAUGAAGAAAAUAAUAAAAAAUAUUGUUUUCAAAUAUCUCAAUUGGUCAAAUUCGAAACAAGUGUCUUCGAAUGAACGAAAGAAGCACUUUAAGGAAUGAAUAUUAUUGAGAUUUUGAGAUGAAAGAAUUCCUUUUCUACCAAAAUAUCCAAUAUUUCGAAAAAAUACCACCAAUUACCCAUAGCUAGGAAUAGAAUAAUUAAGAGAAAGAUAUUGUGAUGAUAAAAAAAAAUGAGUAGCUAAACAAGACAGAAAGUGUCCUGUUAUCAUUAUGAAGAAAACCAAUUGUUGGUUAUUAAGGAAGACAAAAGAAAAGAUAAAAAAAAGGUUGAUUGACAAAAAAGAAAUAAUUUACAAGAUAUGAUUCAUGUGCAUCUAAAGUACCAAUUCCAACAAAUAUUGAACUUAAAAAAAAAA